RNAcentral lists this ribosomal RNA (510 nucleotides) under uncultured bacterium. RNAcentral describes it as "partial 16S ribosomal RNA". It matches the Rfam family "Bacterial small subunit ribosomal RNA", at positions 28 to 507 of the family's 1533-position model. The record is from RNAcentral.
GACGAACGCUGGCGGCGUGCUUAACACAUGCAAGUCGAACGAAGAGCGACGGAAGCUUGCUUCUAUCACUCUUAGUGGCGCACGGGUGAGUAACGCGUAAUCAACCUGCCCUUCAGAGGGGGACAACAGUUGGAAACGACUGCUAAUACCGCAUACGAUCUAAUCUCGGCAUCGAGGAUGGAUGAAAGGUGGCCUCUACAUGUAAGCUAUCACUGAAGGAGGGGAUUGCGUCUGAUUAGCUAGUUGGGGGGGUAACGGCCCACCCAGGCGAUGAUCAGUAGGCGGUCUGAGAGGAAGGACGGCCACAUUGGGACUGAGAACCGGCCCAGAACCCUAAGGGAGGCAGCAGGGGGGAAUCUUCCGCAAUGGACGAAAGUCUGAAGGAGCAACGCCGCGGGAGUGAUGAAGGCCUUCGGGUUGUAAAGGUCUGUUAAUCGGGACGAAAGGCCUUCUUGCGAAUAGUGAGAAGGAUUGACGGUACCGGAAUAGAAAGCCACGGCUAACUACGUG